GCCGCUUCGCUGCCUUUUGGCUACGAUCAAGUGUAGUAUCUGUUCUUAUCAGUUUAAUAUCUGAUACGUCCCCUACCCGGGGACCAUAUAUUAAAUUGAUUUUUGGACUUGGGAGAUGGAACAGGGGCUUGCUCCGACCCGGUAUUGCAGUACCUCCGGGAACGGUCCUCCUCUC
Molecule: small nuclear RNA, 175 nt
Organism: Labrus bergylta (ballan wrasse)
Lineage: Eukaryota; Metazoa; Chordata; Actinopteri; Labriformes; Labridae
Gene: U2
Rfam family: U2 spliceosomal RNA
About the family: U2 is a small nuclear RNA (snRNA) component of the spliceosome (involved in pre-mRNA splicing).
Source: Ensembl